This 253-nucleotide ribosomal RNA is filed under the name uncultured bacterium. Its description in RNAcentral is "partial 16S ribosomal RNA". It matches the Rfam family "Bacterial small subunit ribosomal RNA", at positions 524 to 776 of the family's 1533-position model. The record is from RNAcentral.
UACGUAGGGUGCAAGCGUUGUCCGGAAUUAUUGGGCGUAAAGAGCUCGUAGGCGGUUCGUCGCGUCGGCUGUGAAAACCCGGAGCUCAACUCCGGGCCUGCAGUCGAUACGGGCGGACUUGAGUGUUGCAGGGGAGACUGGAAUUCCUGGUGUAGCGGUGAAAUGCGCAGAUAUCAGGAGGAACACCGGUGGCGAAGGCGGGUCUCUGGGCAACUACUGACGCUGAGGUGCGAAAGCGUGGGGAGCAAACAGG